RNAcentral lists this transfer RNA (77 nucleotides) under bacterium. Its description in RNAcentral is "tRNA-Leu". It matches the Rfam family "tRNA". Rfam says of the family: Transfer RNA (tRNA) molecules are approximately 80 nucleotides in length. The record is from RNAcentral. RNAcentral also lists the same sequence under 1 other name.
GCGAUUAUGGCCCAAUUGGUAGAGGCGUCAGUUUCAAAAACUGAAAGUUGGGGGUUCGAAUCCCUCUAAUCGCACCA